AUGUGUCUGGGCGCGUUCGGGUGUCCCCAUAUCCGUCCCGGCAGCAGUGUGCCCGUCUCCCCGCACAUUUGGCAGACCUCGGCCUUGACUUACGGACAUAGCAUUAAACAUGCGGUCUAUACGGACAGACGCGAGCAGGAUGGGGUCGUGCGUUGGAGUUGGCCUCAUCCAUUAUCUCUGUCCAUUUUACACUUUUCUCAUAAUCAGUGUCUGCUUAUUAUGUUUAUAUCUACUCCUUUCGGAAACAUACAUGUAAGUAAAAAAAUAUGUGCUUAUAUCCAGUUUCAAAUUUUAUAUUGUAUAGUAACUACAUUGUUCGUUUUUGAUUUGGAGGUUUCCUAA
This 342-nucleotide ribosomal RNA is filed under the name Triticum aestivum (bread wheat). Its description in RNAcentral is "partial small subunit ribosomal RNA". The record is from RNAcentral. Lineage: Eukaryota; Viridiplantae; Streptophyta; Magnoliopsida; Poales; Poaceae.